GCCAUACCAGCCUGAAUACGCCCGAUCUCGUCUGAUCUCGGAAGCUAAGCAGGGUCGGGCCUGGUUAGUACUUGGAUGGGAGACCGCCUGGGAAUACCAGGUGCUGUAAGCAUUUU
Molecule: ribosomal RNA, 116 nt
Filed under: Scophthalmus maximus (turbot)
Lineage: Eukaryota; Metazoa; Chordata; Actinopteri; Pleuronectiformes; Scophthalmidae
Source: RNAcentral